RNAcentral lists this long non-coding RNA (242 nucleotides) under Capsicum annuum. Its description in RNAcentral is "long non-coding RNA (CANN_LNC022498)". Lineage: Eukaryota; Viridiplantae; Streptophyta; Magnoliopsida; Solanales; Solanaceae. The record is from RNAcentral.
UCAUGGUUUUAGGAUGGGUAUGAAAAGGAUCAGGCUUGUUAUUGCCUUGAUAUUUUAGCUGUAGAAAGUUGAGGAGAGUUGUGAAAUAGAAUCCAAGAAUGGUAAGGGAACAAGUUGUGGUGUCAUUUUCCUCCUCGUACAUAUACAAAAUGUAAGAUUGUGUAGCCAUGAAAGUGGAAUUGAAGUGAUUGGCAAAAGUUGUCCAUACUUGGAAAAGAGAUAGGCUAAUUCUUAAAUUAUUG